AUUGAACGCUGGCGGCAUGCCUUACACAUGCAAGUCGAACGGCAGCAUGGAGAGCUUGCUCUCUGAUGGCGAGUGGCGAACGGGUGAGUAAUGCAUCGGAACGUACCCAGUCGUGGGGGAUAACGUAGCGAAAGUUACGCUAAUACCGCAUACGUCCUGAGGGAGAAAGCGGGGGACCGAAAGGCCUCGCGCGAUUGGAGCGGCCGAUGUCGGAUUAGCUAGUUGGUAGGGUAAAGGCCUACCAAGGCGACGAUCCGUAGCGGGUCUGAGAGGAUGAUCCGCCACACUGGGACUGAGACACGGCCCAGACUCCUACGGGAGGCAGCAGUGGGGAAUUUUGGACAAUGGGGGCAACCCUGAUCCAGCCAUGCCGCGUGAGUGAAGAAGGCC
Molecule: ribosomal RNA, 390 nt
Filed under: uncultured bacterium
Lineage: Bacteria
Description: bacterial SSU rRNA
Rfam family: Bacterial small subunit ribosomal RNA
Source: RNAcentral